GCAAACUUGGUCAUUUAGAGGAAGUAAAAGUCGUAACAAGGUUUCCGUAGGUAAGUUAAAGUUACCCCCCGGGCUCACCGGGCUCCUUGUUAUUCUUUUGUGACACGUCGCUAACAUACGUCUUAUAGGUGAACCUGCGGAAGGAUCAUUAAAGAGUUAGGGUCCCCUGGGCCCGACCUCCCAACCCUCUGUUUACUGAACCUCUGUUGCUUCGGCGGACCCGUCUCACGACCGCCGGAGGACUGCCCCUCAGGCGUCCUCUGGCCAGUGUCCGCCGAUAGCCAACCCUUCAAAACUUCUGAAUAAAUCAUGCUCUAUGUCUAAGUCUUAUGAUUCAAAUCAAUAAAGCAAAACUUUCAACAACGGAUCUCUUGGUUCUGGCAUCGAUGAAGAACGCAGC
RNAcentral lists this unclassified non-coding RNA (400 nucleotides) under uncultured fungus. RNAcentral's name for it is "partial contains small subunit ribosomal RNA, internal transcribed spacer 1, and 5.8S ribosomal RNA". The stretch from base 1 to 151 matches the Rfam family "Eukaryotic small subunit ribosomal RNA", at positions 1759 to 1831 of the family's 1831-position model. The record is from RNAcentral. Lineage: Eukaryota; Fungi.